Molecule: ribosomal RNA, 419 nt
Filed under: uncultured prokaryote
Description: bacterial SSU rRNA
Rfam family: Bacterial small subunit ribosomal RNA
Source: RNAcentral
CCUACGGACGGCAGCAGUGGGGAAUAUUGGACAAUGGGGGCAACCCUGAUCCAGCCAUGCCGCGUGAAUGAUGAAGGCCUUCGGGUUGUAAAGUUCUUUUGGCGGGGACGAUGAUGACGGUACCCGCAGAAUAAGCCCCGGCUAACUUCGUGCCAGCAGCCGCGGUAAUACGAAGGGGGCUAGCGUUGUUCGGAAUUACUGGGCGUAAAGGGCGCGUAGGCGGUUCGACAAGUCAGAUGUGAAAGCCCCGGGCUCAACCCGGGAACUGCGUUUGAUACUGUCGUGCUAGAAUUCGGGAGAGGUGAGUUGAAUUCCCAGUGUAGAGGUGAAAUUCGUAGAUAUUGGGAAGAACACCCGUGGCGAAGGCGGCUCACUGGACCGACAUUGACGCUGAGGCGCGAAAGCGUGGGGAGCAAACA